GAUGAACGCUGGCGGCGUGCCUAAUACAUGCAAGUCGAGCGAACGGACGAGAAGCUUGCUUCUCUGAUGUUAGCGGCGGACGGGUGAGUAACACGUGGAUAACCUACCUAUAAGACUGGGAUAACUUCGGGGAACCGGAGCUAAUACCGGAUAAUAUUUUGAACCGCAUGGUUCAAAAGUGAAAGACGGUCUUGCUGUCACUUAUAGAUGGAUCCGCGCUGCAUUAGCUAGUUGGUAAGGUGACGGCUUACCAAGGCAACGAUGCAUAGCCGACCUGAGAGGGUGAUCGGCCACACUGGAACUGAGACACGGUCCAGACUCCUACGGGAGGCAGCAGUAGGGAAUCUUCCGCAAUGGGCGAAAGCCUGACGGAGCAACGCCGCGUGAGUGAUGAAGGUCUUCGGAUCGUAAAACUCUGUUAUUAGGGAAGAACAUAUGUGUAAGUAACUGUGCACAUCUUGACGGUACCUAAUCAGAAAGCCACGGCUAACUACGUG
Molecule: ribosomal RNA, 497 nt
Filed under: uncultured bacterium
Lineage: Bacteria
Description: partial 16S ribosomal RNA
Rfam family: Bacterial small subunit ribosomal RNA
Source: RNAcentral